Anser cygnoides (Swan goose) is the source of this 1919-nucleotide long non-coding RNA. NCBI's taxonomy places the organism in Eukaryota, Metazoa, Chordata, Aves, Anseriformes, Anatidae. The record is from Ensembl.
GAUCAGCUACGUGCUCUGUUCCUUAGUCUACUGAAUUAUUACAGUACAGCAUAAAUCAGUUAAGAUUUCUAAAUAUUUAUUUCAAGGAAAUGCAAAGGGAUCUUCUCCAAUUGGCGAUAUUCUGUUGCAGAGGCAGGUAAUUCCUACAGGAUCAGGAGCCAGGAACUCCCUGACUGUUGCAUACCUUAAUACUUCUUUAUGUUUUAAAAUCCUAAUGAGUUAGCCUUCAUACCCUGAACUUAAAAAUGAAAGGGAAAAUUAAAAAUGAAGGGAAAAUAUAUCCAUCACUGUGAGAUGAACAAACAAGCAUUUUUCAGAGAGAGAGACUAACUCUUGUGGGUUUCAUGGAGCUAUUAUUGUUAAUUACAUUAAUUACAGCAAUGACUAGAAAUCCCUGAGAAAGGGACCCUCCUAUUCAAGCAGACUACUUAGUAGGGCUUACGAUUUACAUAGGUAAGACAGAUGCUAGGUGGAAGAAAGGCUAGAACACACUUGUGGGGCUUACUACCCUGAGAAAUAAAUAAUACAUUCAUUCAUAGUAUCUUUAUUUUCAUUAACUUGGAAAUAGAUGUAUUUAUUGUAAUACAGUAUGGGUUAAAAUUGUGGAAUGAAAUCUAUGGUUUGCUAUUCUAUAAAAUCCAGAUUAAAUUUUUAUUGUUGUUUUAUGACAAUACAGUUACUACCUGUUAUAUGAUAGAAAGGUUCUGCUGCUUUCUACAGACACUGUCAACUAAGACAGAGAUGAUCUACUCUGAACAAAUCAUAAGGUUUUUAAACCUAUCUUUAAAGGAAGCAGGACUGGGAAAACACAGCAAGGACAUCUUAUGCCCAUAUUUCCUCGUGUGCAAAUCCUUUAGCAUUUUUUCACAAGGAGAGCCACUGCUGUUCAGGGCAGUAUGCUUUUUAUUGAGGGUGUGAAGCAACUGCCUUUGAAGGAAGUGGAAAGAUUCCCAUGGACUUGAGUGGAAAAUGGAUCAAAACAACUAUGAGGAACUAAUCAACACUGGACAUAUGCACGUUUAUCAUAUUACAGUUUGUUCAUGUCUAAGUAAAUGGAGUACCACCAAACUUGCAAAUUAAUCUUUUCCCAAACGUUUUCCCACUUCUCAUAUAUUGUCUGUAUAUAUUGAUAGUAUGUAUAAGUAAAUCAGUGGUGACAUUAGACAUGUGCAGUCAGUGUAUGAAGCUCCACACUUAAUUUGGUUUCAUGCUGGUUGACUUUUCAUGUGAACUAACAUGUCUGAUGGCCCUAUGGGUAACAAUUUGUGCCACUUUACUAUGUCUGGAUUCUAUGUGAAAUAGUUUUAACAUUCAGCUUAUACAAGAAAAUGGCAAGAUGACUAUAGGGGAUUGAAUCACAGUCUAAGAUGAUGUGGAGAUGAUGCACGCAUGAAUAGAAGAUGAUGCAAUAUUUUACCAGCCUUCUGAUUUCUGAAAGCUUCCAGUGACAGCUAUCAAGUUCAAAGUGGAAAUCUGGUGAAAUUUUGAUCGACUGUGACACCUGAAGAGACAUGAUCAUGUCAGGAACUAGCUGGAUUGCUUUUAUUAUCACUUCAUAUCUCUGUAUCUUGCACUUUUUUCUCUCUCUGCUUUUGUAUACUUGUUUUUAAGUGUGAGGUCUAGUGAAAUGCUGUUAAUGUGGAAAGAUGUUAUUUAAAACAAUGUAUUUUGAAGGCAGACCUCUAAUGUCUUGUUUAAUUUUGAAGAGGCUAGAUUGCACUUGUUGAGGUAAGCAUAAGGCUGUAGGAAGAUUAGCUUUUGGCUCAUUUGGCUAAAACAUUGCCUCAAAUUUGAAGUCUUCUGUAAUGUUCUUUUUCCCUCCCUCUUACCCUUUUUUAGGUAGUAUAUAUAUAUAUUUAUAUGAACGAUAUCCAUAUCAGAGAAAUAAACAAGUCCAGGGGACAAAUUUGAGAACUGGC